UACAGAGGGUGCGAGCGUUAAUCGAAGUUACUGGGCGUAAAGGGCGCGUAGGCGGUUAAGUGAGUGUGAUGUGAAAGCCCUGGGCUUAACCUGGGAAGGGCAUUGCAAACGACGUAACUGGAGUAUAAGAGAGGGUGGCGGAAUUUCCGGUGUAGCGGUGAAAUGCGUAGAGAUCGGAAGGAACGUCGAUGGCGAAGGCAGCCACCUGGCUUAAUACUGACGCUGAGGCGCGAAAGCGUGGGGAGCGAACAGG
Molecule: ribosomal RNA, 253 nt
Filed under: uncultured bacterium
Lineage: Bacteria
Description: partial 16S ribosomal RNA
Rfam family: Bacterial small subunit ribosomal RNA
Source: RNAcentral